Molecule: antisense RNA, 174 nt
Filed under: Salmonella enterica subsp. enterica serovar Typhimurium
Lineage: Bacteria; Pseudomonadati; Pseudomonadota; Gammaproteobacteria; Enterobacterales; Enterobacteriaceae
Description: sok antitoxin (CssrC)
Rfam family: sok antitoxin (CssrC)
About the family: Also identified in Shigella as CssrC.
Source: Rfam by way of RNAcentral
GGGUGCUUGAGGCUGUUUGCCUGGAGCAUUCGUGAAAGGCAGACAGAGAAAAGCCCCAGUUAACAUUCGGCGUCUUGCAGGACGCUUAACAUUAAACUGAGGCCAAUCCAAUGCUUGAACAACUGAAGAUUAGCCUCUUAACCGUAAGAAAUCAACUUACAGGAGGCUGUAAUG